GCGAGUGUGGUAUAGUGGUUUGAGUGUUGACGUAUGACUCUGGAGAUCAGGGUUCAAUUCCCUGCUCAAGCA
Non-coding RNA from Phrynosoma platyrhinos (Desert horned lizard), 72 nucleotides. Lineage: Eukaryota; Metazoa; Chordata; Lepidosauria; Squamata; Phrynosomatidae. The record is from the annotation of a GenBank genome assembly.